CCCCUCUCAGGGUUGCACCUGGAGAGUUUCCAGUACUCUACCAGUCGUGACUAUGGGAGGAAGAGACAAGCAGUGGCGUAUCUAUUCCAUUCCUAGCCUGGGCAGUGACUAGCAAGUGGAAGACAAUCUGCUACAAGU
Molecule: small nucleolar RNA, 138 nt
Organism: Tachyglossus aculeatus (Australian echidna)
Lineage: Eukaryota; Metazoa; Chordata; Mammalia; Monotremata; Tachyglossidae
Source: RefSeq, a predicted model, not a curated record